UACGAAGGGGGCUAGCGUUGUUCGGAAUUACUGGGCGUAAAGCGCACGUAGGCGGAUAUUUAAGUCAGGGGUGAAAUCCCAGAGCUCAACUCUGGAACUGCCUUUGAUACUGGGUAUCUCGAGUAUGGAAGAGGUGAGUGGAAUUCCGAGUGUAGAGGUGAAAUUCGUAGAUAUUCGGAGGAACACCAGUGGCGAAGGCGGCUCACUGGCCCGGUACUGACGCUGAGUGAGCGAAAGCCAGGGGAGCAAACGGG
This 254-nucleotide ribosomal RNA is filed under the name uncultured bacterium. RNAcentral describes it as "partial 16S ribosomal RNA". It matches the Rfam family "Bacterial small subunit ribosomal RNA", at positions 524 to 776 of the family's 1533-position model. The record is from RNAcentral.